CGCCAAAACAAUGGCAUUUACAAUUUCCGAACCCGAUGUAACUCAGCUUAUAAAAUCUAAAGUUCGGGUCUUUAAGCUGUGAGGUGUUUAGUGAAGUAUGCCGUGAAUAAUGAGCCUCGGUUUGGUAUUUAUUUAAGAAGUGAAGUGCGACACCGCUAACUUAGUUUGCUAACUCUUCUGGUAGCUUAGCCACAUGCUAACUGGACCAGAACCUGGAGUAUAUAAUGCCAAGCACGAGCGCGUUUUAGUCAGCUGAUCUUAGUGCUUUAGACAAGGUACCGAACUGAGCAGCCGCUUCUCUGUCACGCUGUAUUCCCCUGGGAGUAGCACUCAAUCAAAUGCUAGUUGACUGUAGCUUAGUGGCCGUGAAAACAUGUCCAGUCCAAACGCGAACGCAGCCGGACUCACAGUAGCAGCUGGGAGCGGAGAGAAGGUGGAUCAGGUCGUGCAGCCGGUUCUGUUUGAGAUCUUUGGGGAGAUGUGGAAGGUGCAGGCUCGGUUAGGACAGGGAGGGUCUGCCUCUGUGUACCGGGUGAGCUCUGCCAGGUCCAGUUGUGCUGCUGUGAAAGAGUUUCUGCUGGAUGCUCAGGGUGGAGAUUACGGCUAUCUCAAGGAAAGAUCCGUGCUAGAGGACAUCCAGGGCCACAAAAAUAUCGUAACGCUGUACGGCGUGUUCACCAAUCACAACCCGCUGGGCAUAGCGACCCGCUGCUUGUUGCUGGAGCUUCUGGACGUGAGCGUGUCGGAGUUGCUGGUGAGAGGCAGCAGCCAGGGCCACUCCAUGUGGCUGAUCCAGCACUGUGCCCGUGAUGUCCUGGAGGCGCUGUGUUUCCUGCACCGCGAGGGAUACGUGCACGCCGACCUCAAGCCUCGCAACAUUCUCUGGAGCCCUGACGACGAGUGCUUCAAGCUCAUCGACUUCGGACUCAGCUUUAAAGAGGGCCACCAGGAUGUGAAGUACAUCCAGACAGAUGGGUACAGAGCGCCCGAGGCUGAGCUGCAGAACUCGCUGGCUCAGGCAGGACUGGAGGGAGACUCGGGCUGUACCACUGCUGUGGAUUUGUGGAGUCUGGGCGUCAUUCUGCUGGAAAUGUUCUCAGGAAUGAAACUAAAAGAAACCGUCAAGUCUCAGGAAUGGAAGGACAACAGUUCUGCAAUAGUGGAUCAUAUCUUCUCAAGCAAUUCUGUGGUGUACCCUGCUAUCCCCGUCUACCAUCUCAGAGAUCUCAUCAAAAGCAUGCUUCACCACAACCCAAACUGCAGAAGCACAGCCGAAGCUGCACUCAUCAGCCCCUUCUUCAGUAUUCCUUUUGCUCCUCACAUCGACGACUUGGUUCUGCUGCCUACGCCUGUCCUCAGACUGCUCAAUGUAAUUGAUGACAGUCAUUUACACAAUGAUGAUGAAUAUGAAGACAUUAUAGAGGACAUGAGGGAGGAGUGUCAGAAAUAUGGAUCCGUCUUAUCGCUGUUGAUUCCGAAAGAAAAUCCUGGGAAAGGCCAGGUCUUCGUCGAGUAUGCAAACGCCGGAGACUCCAAAGAAGCCCAGAGGCUGCUGACAGGCCGCACUUUUGAUGGCAAAUUUGUGGUGGCUACUUUCUACCCGCUGAGUGCCUAUAAGAGAGGUUAUCUGUAUCAGACCGUGCAGUGAGGGGCUACAAGUACAAUAAUGUUCCAGUACGAACAUGGCUUAGUCGUGAAACACAGUGUGGUGUUGUAUCACAAGUAUCUCGGUGCACACUCCUAGUGCUUCCUCAAGGCAUCUGCCGUGUCCACCCUUAUCUUUUCAAAGAAGUGAAGGAGGAAAUGGAGGCAGUGCAAGAAUGUAGGUGUGAAAUUCAGAAACUGGCUUUCUCAAUACGCACUCAUUUCUUGAUAAGUAUUUGCCCCCAAGCAGGAAGCCUAAAAGGUUUGUUGUUGUAGCCCGGUACUGUGAUUGAGAUUCUAGUAUUGAUGCUAAAUAAAAUAUUCAGAGCUAAUUAGCCAUGGCAGCACUUUUUAAUUUUUUUGGCACUUUUAUCGCAGCUCCCACUGCAGCCAAAGUCUUUCAGGAUCAAAAAGCACAAAUACACGCAUCGCUGCCUUCUCAGAGAAAUUCCACGCUGUGUAAAAAUUGUGCUCUCGGCUGUGACAAAGUGCCAAAAAUCAGACCUGAACUGACGUUCCGAUUCCAAAAAAAUGACCCAAGGUUGCUGUGAAGUUUGCACUCUGUGUGUAUGUACAUGAGAUAUAACCCGCAAAGCUUGGAAACUUGUCUAUAGUCUAUAAACACAGCUGCUUUAGUUACUAAAGGCCAAAAAACUGAACGUAGAAAGACUGGGUCCUUUUUUUUUUUUUAAACUGACAAACCGACUACUUUCUCACAAGACGUGAGGAUGUCCAUCCAGCUGGGGGAGUCAAAAUAGCUUUAAAGGUCCCAUGGCAUGAAAUGUUCACUUUCUGAGGUUUUUUAACGUUAAAAUGAGUUCCUCUGACCUUCUUAAGUCACCCCAGUGGCUAGAAAUUUCAUAAUGUGUAAACCAAACUAUGCCCAACAUUUGAGAAUGGCGCGUCAAAACGGCACGUUGAGAAGCUCUUCCCUUUACUACGUCAGCAAGGGAGAUGAUCCCCACGCCCCCCCUCUGGAUUCCCACCCACUGUAUGAAUUGCCCGCCCAGUUGUAGUGAGGAGACCAUAGAGGACACAUGGCGUCACCUAAGCGAGCGAAACAUGGAAGUUGCGCUGUACAUGGAUGUGACAACACAGAAAGGAGUCUGUUUUUACUGCCGACGGGAGAGCCCCUGAAGAUGCAGUGGCUUAAUUUUAUUUACUUCAGUAAUACGCCGUCGAGUCUACCUAAGACGGUGUAUGUUUGUCGGAAGCAUUUUCCUGAUGAAUGUUUCCACAACUUGGGACAGUACAGGGCAGGUUUUGCACAUCAACUGUCACUGAAGCCUGGGUCCGUACCAAGCAUCCCUGCCGCAUCAGCAACAAACACCGAACAAGUAAGUGUACGGUAUAACUGUUAAGUCGUUUUGCCGUGUUUUAAAAUCGGUGCCACGUUAGCCUUGCAAUGGCUACAUUAGCUGUGCAGCUAACCGCUUCCUGCAGUUAGCCAGGUACUCUGUCUGCGCUACAAAACCAAAAAGCAUGCAGCAUGCUCUGUUAUAAUAGCCAAUCAAAACAGUUUUUACAAAGACACCGGCAUUCUUUAAGUCACUCGUUCAUUUUAUUUGUUUGUUUGUUCAGUAAAAACCCAAACAUUUGUUGAAUUUAUUUUAUUUCCUCGCGUCGCACCUUAAUGACGUCAGCGCGCGGUAUUUUUCCCUUCGCGGUUUGUUCCUUCUCUCUCGCCAUAGUAAGACACCCACAUCCGCUUGUUCUGACCCACUGGAGGUAGCGUCACAGUGCUGUUAGCCAAUCAGAGGUAACACGUUUACAUGUCAUGAAUAUUAAUGAUAAGACCCGCCCCCACCCUCUACCCUUCCCCGCCUCCUGCUUCUCAUUAGCAAAACGACGCACUGGGAAAAGCGCUGAAAUGGGGCUUUCUCCCAGGAGGCUAUAUCUACGUGCCGAGGGUUCAUUUCGAGAAAGGCUGCGGAUAUAACAUCCGGAAACCUCCACGAGCCCGUUUAAAGCAUCAACAAACCACCAUGCCAUGGGACCUUUAAGCUCGUCGCAUCAAAUGCAGCUCGGACUUGACAGCCGCCAUCUGCUUCCUUCCUCCUGGGUUUAGAUAAAUGAACUUUUGAAUCCUACAGAACGGACCCAAAGGCACUGCUUUAUAUCAGAUAUUGUAAUCGGUUCUCGAAACGAGCUGUUUAAUGUGAUUAGUGGGUUUACAUUGCUACUGACAGUCGGAUCAAUGUGCUAAAGAGGUUCUAGAUGCGGAUUUAAUCCAGAUGAGAAGGCUAGGUGUUCGAUCUGUGGGUUCUUCCUUUGAACACUGACCCUUUUUAAUCGAGCGCAGUGGCUCGGGUUGGAGCGGAAUUGUUUAGGAAUGAAACAUGAACAGAUUCCUGCGUUUUUUAUAGAUUUUAUGGAUUCAGCAGGGAUAAGUUGUAUUUAAACACAUGGACGUGUAGAUAAGAUGGGAAUAUAUGCGUGAAUUUAUGUUUCUGGAGAAACGGCACGUAAAUGAUGUCAACUGGUUUGUCCUGCAGCUUUAGAAGCACUUUGCUUACACAAUUGAUUUGUAUUUAUUUAUUUAAUUAUUUGUUGGUCCAAAAUGCCAUCUUUUUCUCAACUUCAUUCAUCAAUUAACUCUUAGUACAGCUAAAUAUUUGUUAUUCCACGAAAUCGAGUCGUACAUGAGCUGAUAGCUGACGAGGCGCGUAGCACCGAGUCGGCUAUAAGCCGUAUAUGACGAGAUUGAGUGGAAUAACUGUUUUAUUCUAUCCACAUUCACUGGAUUUUGAGAAACGGAGCAUUUUUAUUUUUUGCUAGUUUGAUAAACAAAACUUUUUGUACAAAACGUCUGACAAAAUCAUUUCCGCUUAGAGUGUAAACAAAACGGCGAAAUGACAGGAGCAAUUUGUGAAAAAUGCAAUGAUCAUUCUUGGGGAAAAAAAAAGAUGCAUUCUUACCAUCAAAUACUUUCAUUCCAUGUUUUGUUUUCGAGUAGUUUUUAUUUCGUCUUCAGUUGGUUCAGCAACACGCUCCGCCAUUUUGUUUUUCUCUACUCAUGGUAUAUGAGCUGAUAUCCUAGUAGUAGAGUAGCCAAUCAGAGCGCAUGAUUGGUCAUAUCCAGUGAAUGUGGAUCGAAUAAUUCCUGGUAUACAGUGCACUUACUCCAUGUAUACACUUGGGUCAAAUGUCUAAGACCAUUGUUUGGUGUAGGUUUUUUGGGGUUUUUUUUAAAUAAAUUUAAAACCGGAUAUAAGCAGAGUUUAGAAAGUUUCGAGUGUUCAGACGACACUGAUGGAUUUGUUCGAAUACAAUUCGUCAGGUUUAUGAAUCUACUUUUCACUGAUGUUGCUGAUGAUGAUCUAAUUUGGAAUGGAAAAGAAUGCAAAACGGAAACAGUUGCACUGUUGGUCUUAGACUUUUGCACCCCGCUGUGUAGUGUGUGUGUGUGUGUGUGUGUGUGAGAGAACAAUUUAGACGGGUAAAGCCAUAGGAGUCUGACCUUUUGUUAAUGUUUGAUCAGACGUUGCACACGUAGAAACUCUUGCUGUGAAUUUGACUUUGUUUAUAAAUGGAGCGAGCGGAUUCUUGCAGUCGUACCCGCUGCUGUUCAGUGCAGUUAGAGUUUACAGUUGCACAACAGUAUUGAAAUUGUUCGUUCGUUGCAUUACCUACAAGAGCACAGUUCUCAGACAAACGAAAUCUUUUUUCUUUUUAGAAUAGUUGUAUUUUGCUCACGUAAAAAUGUGCUCCAAGGAUACGUUGUUUACCAGAAGGUAAUUUCUACAAAGUGUGAACAAAGGAAUAGUGGAAAUACUGACUGAUACAAACUUUCACACAGAUUAAAGAAAUACUCCAGUAAUUUUAAACCUGAUCUGAUCCUGUGUGUGUGUGUGUGUGUGUGUGUGUGUGUGUGUGUGUGUGUGUGUGUGUGAGAGAUAUUACCAAAUUACCAGAUAUUAUCUUUUAUACACAGUUCUUGAAAUAUUCGCGGUGACCGAAUUAACCCUAAUUCAACAGAACUUGUAUAUUCAAAAUCUGCUGAGUCUAUGAAAAAUUCGAGUUAAUGAAGAAGUUAUAGAAAUGUAAUAAUUUUAAAUCUGCAGAGUCUAUUCUAAUGAUUUCGAACAUAAUAUCCUAAUUCUAAUGAUUCUAAUACUACACAUUAAAAAAAAUUUAAAGCUCUAAUGAUUCUAACAGUUAUAACUCUAAGUAUAGCUGCAAGAAGCGAUCAUCGGGGUCCAAGCAUGUCAGGAAAUAUCCCCGGUCCGACAGUGGCCAGUUCUUGACAAGAACAGUAUAAAGUCCAAAGAUGCACAGACUUUAUCAAGUUCUAUCAACUCAGUGUUGCUCAAUAUUAAUAGGGUACAAUGUCUGUGAAAAGCCAGGUCACUGAAGGUGGCCAUCUGUUUCAUUUCAGUUUAAUCUUUUAAGACUUUUGGUUCCUGAGAAACACCUAAACUCCACCUCCUAUUGACAUCCAUACCUCAAACACACUUCCUCAUAUCGUAACGUUUCAUAUGAAUCCGGACAACCAGCCUUCAGUUACAGCUUUUUUACUAAAUCAAGCUCCAACUUAAAGGAGAACUGAAGUCAUUUUUAAACUUGCUUUAUUUCUUAAUUAACGUGUUAUUCAAUUCCGUUUUCGGUUUGAGUAACCUGAUAUCGUGACUCGUAUCGGCAACUAAUCGCAAUUAAAUAUUAUACUUAUCGGCCUGUUCGGUUUUUAGCCGUGUUGAAUGUAGUUCGUUUGGUCCACGGCAGGCGUCACUUAUCCGCGCGAUCUUCACGAGACUUGUGCGAGACUUCGAAGCGUGAAGCGUCAGCCAGGUGUCAGUGCCGCCAUUUUUGAAAACUGUUUUCCAAAUAAAACAUUGCACAAAAAUUUGUUUAAAUGACGAUUACUGCCUACUUUUUUCAAACUUUCCUGAUUGCUAUCAAAACCAACAAAACUUCCGGCUUGAUUACAUCAGCAUUCGAAAGAGGGCGCGCGUAUUUUGACUAUCCCUGCGUCCAAAUCGGUCCCUACUCACUAUAUAGGGCACUAUAUAGUGAGGAUGCCAUUUUGGAGUGCUGUCCGAAACCUUAGUGAGGAUUAUUUACACCCUGUAUAGUGCACUCAAAGUAUCCCACAAUAGAGGUCUGCGCAGGUCGGAUUUUUCAGUCCCGCUCCCGCCCGCAAAGAAUUAUGAUUUUCAGUCCCGCUCCCGCCCGCGCCUGCCAUAUUUUGUCCCGCUCCCGCCCGCAAAUCCCGCAUAAUGCAGACGUUCGCGUUAUUUCUCAUAAAGUUCUUGUCUUGACAGAGUGUGAUGGUGCCCCGCCCCCUACUUUGAGUGGUUUUGAGCAUAAAUAUCUACAGCUCACGUUCACGUUUAUUAUUUACCUUGUUUCUGAAUUCGGAAUGUUGAAAUGGCAGCAUGUAGACCUAAUAAUAAUAAUUAUUUAAGUAGGCUAAUCAUUUAAGUAUGCGCUGUCCCGUGGUGCGUCUCCUAUGAAUAAUUAGUGUGAAAGGAGAGAUGGAUCGCACUCUUGAACUUAUUCUUUGUUACAUUUCUUUUCAGUUGUUUUUAGCAGCAGAAGGAGACAAACGUUUCAGCUGUUGCCUUCGUCAGUGUCUCUAAUAAUAAUAAUAAACAAUUAAAGCCGCAAGCGGCCUCGACGGGCCCUCGCGCCAGCGGCCAAGGGGGGGCGGGGGCAUGCGUCCCCGCGAAAUACCUUCCACAGCUUCUUCGGCAAGAGACAUUACUCCCACAAUGGCGACAAAGCACAGAAUUGGACACAUGGCAACAAUAGGGUUUGCCAUAACCAGCACCCCCAGGGGCGAAAGUGCACAAAAUUUGGCGUAUAUGUCAGG
Molecule: RNA transcript, 7456 nt
Organism: Neoarius graeffei (lesser salmon catfish)
Lineage: Eukaryota; Metazoa; Chordata; Actinopteri; Siluriformes; Ariidae
Gene: uhmk1
Gene name: U2AF homology motif (UHM) kinase 1
Exons: 9
Source: RefSeq, a predicted model, not a curated record